Triticum dicoccoides is the source of this 384-nucleotide long non-coding RNA. RefSeq lists it as uncharacterized. The transcript is spliced from 2 exons. NCBI's taxonomy places the organism in Eukaryota, Viridiplantae, Streptophyta, Magnoliopsida, Poales, Poaceae. The record is from RefSeq and is a predicted model, not a curated record.
UGCAUCUCACCUGGGCGGCUGGGCCACCGGAUCCCUGCACGCACAAACCUAGCUCCAAGCAGCUGCUGCACGGUGGGGAAUGGCAGAGGCUGAAGGCGCACGGCCCAUGAAGCUAGUGCAGGUUGAGCCUUCCCUUCCACAGGAAUUCCUCUCCCUCCAUGGAUUACCAGAUUUUCAGGAAUUACUGGAGCAACCAAUGGACAUGAAACACCCAAGAAGGUGACACUAGGUGGAUCAGGAACUUACAUUUUAUUUUGUACUCUGUUUGUAUUCCAUUUAAUUCUGACUUUUCCUUUUUCUUUUCUGAAUAUACGAUGCUUAGAGGAAGUGCAUUGUAUGAUAUUAUAUGAGAAUAAAGUGCCAUAACAGUGCAGGUUAGAUUCU